Molecule: long non-coding RNA, 463 nt
Organism: Octodon degus (degu)
Lineage: Eukaryota; Metazoa; Chordata; Mammalia; Rodentia; Octodontidae
Exons: 3
Source: RefSeq, a predicted model, not a curated record
AGCGCUUCUUUUAACUUUUGGACUUGCCUCGUUGUCAUCUGAUUUUUGAGUUACAACAUUUGGGGGCUCGUCCGGGAUCCCUAAAGGCCUCUUCUUUUUAACGCGCUGCCACUCGUAGUCCUUCUUAAAAUUAUGAACACCCAUUACCCUAUUGGGAUGAUUGCCAGCAACUCCUGCAGACCCUCUUCACCUCCGAGGAACAAGACUGCAUACGCAUGGCCGCCCGCGAGGCAGUACUCGGACCUGACGGGACACCAACCACAGACAUCGACCACCAAGACGUUGUUUUUCCCCUCUCACAUCCUGAUUGGGACCCCAAUACUGAACAAGUCCCUCCAGGCCCUCCAGCCAGUGCUUGCCUCCAUCCCCUGGGUUUUUAGACAACAACACCCUGCUCCUGACCCUCUGGUCCCUGGACUCUACCAGCAAGCCGCUGAGCCAAAAAGCCAAGUGCUACUCAAAC